AACGCACCUUGCGCUCCUUGGUAUUCCGAGGAGCAUGCCUGUUUGAGUGUCAUUAAUAUAUAUAUAUCAAACUUCUCUUGUUGAGUGGUUUGGAUGUGGGGGUUUUUGCUGGGCCUCUUUUUUAAGGGUUCAGCUCCCCUGAAAUGCAUUAGCAGAACAACCCUGUUCAUUGGUGUGAUAACUAUCUACGCUAUUGAAUGUGAGGGGCAGUUCAGCUUUCUAACAGUCCUUGGACAAAUUCAUCAUUAAUGUGACCUCAAAUCAGGUAGGACUACCCGCUGAACUUAA
This 288-nucleotide unclassified non-coding RNA is filed under the name uncultured Cortinarius. RNAcentral describes it as "sequence contains ITS2". The stretch from base 1 to 52 matches the Rfam family "5.8S ribosomal RNA", at positions 103 to 154 of the family's 154-position model. The record is from RNAcentral. Lineage: Eukaryota; Fungi; Basidiomycota; Agaricomycetes; Agaricales; Cortinariaceae.